CCUACGGGAGGCUGCAGUGAGGAAUAUUGGUCAAUGGGCUUACGCCUGAACCAGCCAAGUCGCGUGAGGGAAGACUGCCCUAUGGGUUGUAAACCUCUUUUGUCAGGGAGCAAUUGGCGCUACGUGUAGCGUUAUCGAGAGUACCUGAAGAAAAAGCAUCGGCUAACUCCGUGCCAGCAGCCGCGGUAAUACGGAGGAUGCGAGCGUUAUCCGGAUUUAUUGGGUUUAAAGGGAGCGUAGAUGGGUUGUUAAGUCAGUUGUGAAAGUUUGCGGCUCAACCGUAAAAUUGCAAUUGAUACUGGCAGUCUUGAGUACAGUUGAGGUAGGCGGAAUUCGUGGUGUAGCGGUGAAAUGCUUAGAUAUCACGAAGAACCCCGAUUGCGAAGGCAGCUUACUAAACUGUGACUGACAUUGAUGCUCGAAAGUGUGGGUAUCAAACAGGAUUAGAUACCCUUGUAGUC
RNAcentral lists this ribosomal RNA (461 nucleotides) under uncultured bacterium. RNAcentral's name for it is "partial 16S ribosomal RNA". It matches the Rfam family "Bacterial small subunit ribosomal RNA", at positions 338 to 795 of the family's 1533-position model. The record is from RNAcentral.